GAUGAACGCUGGCGGCGUGCCUAAUACAUGCAAGUCGAGCGAACAGACGAGGAGCUUGCUCCUCUGACGUUAGCGGCGGACGGGUGAGUAACACGUGGAUAACCUACCUAUAAGACUGGGAUAACUUCGGGAAACCGGAGCUAAUACCGGAUAAUAUAUUGAACCGCAUGGUUCAAUAGUGAAAGACGGUUUUGCUGUCACUAAUUGAUGGAUCCGCGCCGCAUUAGCUAGUUGGUAAGGUAACGGCUUACCAAGGCAACGAUGCGUAGCCGACCUGAGAGGGUGAUCGGCCACACUGGAACUGAGACACGGUCCAGACUCCUACGGGAGGCAGCAGUAGGGAAUCUUCCGCAAUGGGCGAAAGCUUGACGGAGCAACGCCGCGUGAGUGAUGAAGGUCUUCGGAUCGUAAAACUCUGUUAUUAGGGAAGAACAAAUGUGUAAGUAACUAUGCACGUCUUGACGGUACCUAAUCAGAAAGCCACGGCUAACUACGUG
Molecule: ribosomal RNA, 497 nt
Filed under: uncultured bacterium
Lineage: Bacteria
Description: partial 16S ribosomal RNA
Rfam family: Bacterial small subunit ribosomal RNA
Source: RNAcentral